RNAcentral lists this long non-coding RNA (1390 nucleotides) under Oreochromis niloticus (Nile tilapia). RNAcentral's name for it is "lncRNA (ENSONIG00000040297.1)". The record is from RNAcentral. Lineage: Eukaryota; Metazoa; Chordata; Actinopteri; Cichliformes; Cichlidae.
GUGGCGCCAAGGAAUAAGUUGCAAGAAAUCACUAGAAUAACCUCAGAGCCACAAAACAAGGUCACACACAGCCAUGAAGAACAACUCGACAAAGGACAAGGAGAGCCUGAGACAAUAUGUGCAUAGAAAGGUGAUUUUGGCAGAAUGAAGACACCUGGGAGAGAAAGCUGAAGCAAAUCAGAUAAACCUAACACCAGGCACGCAAGACAAGGCACUACCAAAAUAAAAUAGGAAGUGACAUAGGCAUGACAACCAAACAUAGACGGAGACUUGAUAACCUGACCUCAGGAACACAGUGGAACACAAUAGAAACUGAACUAAAAACACAAAGGUUGAAAAGACAAAGCUGAAAAAUUAAGUAAUAAAAAACCACCCUGAGGAUUAUUAGUAAUAAUCAGAACCUGAGGGACCGAAAAACACCAAACAUGGGUCGGCGUCUCAGGACUGUAGCUGAAAAUAAGAUGUGGGACAUCUUCAGUGGAGCCAGUAUCACAUUUACAUCCCUCAUGCUGUAAAGACAUUAUAGAUCAGAAAGACUGAUCAGGAAGUGACAUUUAAUGACUCUAAGCAUAUUAUGUGCAUCUUUGGAGAGUGUUUUUACUGACAGAGAGUAUUAUGUAUGGUGCACAAACAAAGAUUGCACAGUUGUGACGCUGCACAGGAGAGUCAAGCUGAGUGCAGCAUCAUGUAGGAACAGAGAGAGCUGCAGAUUUCUCCCAACCAGCUGACGUGGUCAGGGCAGGUUUAGGUGGUGGUUUUUUUUUUCUCUCCCUUUUGUUGAGCUACAGGUGGAGUGCUGCAGCUGGAGUCAUCUCUCUUGGGUUGUCCUUCUCACACCUGCUACUCGUAAACUCAUCUACCUGUAAGAUGAUUUAACAAGGGCUGGAUGGUGCAGCAGAUCCUUGCUAGAUCAUUAGCUACCAUGGUGAUCAUUAGGUGUUCUCCCUGUGUGAAUGUUCCCUGUCCACUAGUUCAGAGUUCUCUUGUCGAAGAAGCCUGGUUGCCGCUGUAUGGCCUCCUCUGGCAUGACUUAUGCUCACCACCAGCCAUCACGUGGAAAACCUGCCUGUUCUCCUCGGAUUUCUCCAAAGCUUUUGUUCUGGAAUCUCUCUGGCACUCUCUCCACAGCUAUCCGCGCCCCCGAGGAGAAAACGCGCACCUCGGCACCCCGCCCCGCCGCGCGCCUUCUGUGUGCGUGAGUGUGAGUGAGGGACCGCGGGGAAGGGGGGGUGCCAGCUUGUUUGUGCAGUUUGAGUGUGCGAGAGGAAGGCAGAGAGCCGACAGUAGGGACGGAGCGCAGAAGCGAGCGCAGUUUUCUCUCACAGGCUUUCGCACAAACAUCACAUAGUAUGCGUAAAGAUUCGAGUGCGGACCGGCACUAGACCAGAAG